RNAcentral lists this transfer RNA (76 nucleotides) under bacterium HR34. RNAcentral's name for it is "tRNA-Arg". It matches the Rfam family "tRNA". From Rfam's summary of the family: Transfer RNA (tRNA) molecules are approximately 80 nucleotides in length. Their secondary structure includes four short double-helical elements and three loops (D, anti-codon, and T loops). Further hydrogen bonds mediate the characteristic L-shaped molecular structure. tRNAs have two regions of fundamental functional importance: the anti-codon, which is responsible for specific mRNA codon recognition, and the 3' end, to which the tRNAs corresponding amino acid is attached (by aminoacyl-tRNA synthetases). tRNAs cope with the degeneracy of the genetic code in two manners: having more than one tRNA (with a specific anti-codon) for a particular amino acid; and 'wobble' base-pairing, i.e. permitting non-standard base-pairing at the 3rd anti-codon position. The record is from RNAcentral.
GUCCCCGUAGUUUAAUUGGAUAAAACGCCAGACUGCGGAUCUGGAAACUGGAGGUUCAAAUCCUCCCGGGGACACC